RNAcentral lists this ribosomal RNA (497 nucleotides) under uncultured bacterium. Its description in RNAcentral is "bacterial SSU rRNA". It matches the Rfam family "Bacterial small subunit ribosomal RNA", at positions 28 to 524 of the family's 1533-position model. The record is from RNAcentral.
GAUGAACGCUAGCGGCAGGCUUAACACAUGCAAGUCGAGGGGUAGAGGAAGCUUGCUUCCUUGAGACCGGCGCACGGUGCGUAACGCGUAUGCAAUCUACCUUAUACAGGGGAUAGCCCAGAGAAAUUUGGAUUAAUACCCCAUAGUAUAAUUGAAUGGCAUCAUUUGAUUAUUAAAAGUUCCAACGGUAUAAGAUGAGCAUGCGUCCCAUUAGCUAGUUGGUGUGGUAACGGCACACCAAGGCGACGAUGGGUAGGGGUCCUGAGAGGGAGAUCCCCCACACUGGUACUGAGACACGGACCAGACUCCUACGGGAGGCAGCAGUGAGGAAUAUUGGUCAAUGGGCGCAAGCCUGAACCAGCCAUGCCGCGUGCAGGAUGACGGUCCUAUGGAUUGUAAACUGCUUUUGUACAGGAAGAAACACUACCCUCGUGAGGGAGCUUGACGGUACUGUAAGAAUAAGGAUCGGCUAACUCCGUGCCAGCAGCCGCGGUAAU